Molecule: non-coding RNA, 1884 nt
Organism: Cricetulus griseus (Chinese hamster)
Lineage: Eukaryota; Metazoa; Chordata; Mammalia; Rodentia; Cricetidae
Source: RefSeq, a predicted model, not a curated record
GUGUGUGUGUGUUUUGAGACAGUCUCACUGGAUAGCCCAGGCUGGUCUCAAACUCAGCCUCUAAAGUCACAGCCUCUAAAGUCCCAGGAUUACAGAUGCAAGAGAGAUCCAGUGCAUGAUGUUCUGUCAGCCCAAAUGGAGACAAGGAAUCGACCUGCCAUCUUUGUUCUCUGUCCACCAUCUACAACUUCUGGGGAAGGAGUUUCCUCUCCUUGCAAUUCCUUCCAAAGGGAAAAACAGCAAAUCUCAGUCCCCAGCCUCUCCGGGCAUCGCCUUUCCUUCCAGGAUCAUGUGACUCAUUAGAAACUGGGUGGUCAGAUAAUAGAGGCCUAACUCAACGCUGUUAUCUCACCGACUCUCACCUCCUCUGGAUGCCAAAGGGUGAGUGUAGCAUACACUGAGAGAUGGCACAUCUUUAGCUCUGAACAAAGGGCUGCCUAGAGACUGCUGUCACAUUUCAGAGGAGAGCACUUUUAUCCCUGGAGAUGGGGUUGAAGUUCUAGUGUGAAGAGAUGGGAGGGAGACUGGGGUCAUGGCCACCCUCCCUUAGGCCCCAUCAGACUGCACAGAUGGCUGCUUUGAUGAGCUAUCUUUUGAGGGCAGAAGCUGUACCUUAUUUAUCAGUGUGUCACAGUUCUUGGUACAUAGAUGGUGCUGGAUGGACGAUGAAAACCAGAACAGGCCUGAGUGAUUGACAGCUCCCAGUAGCCCCUGGGCAGCAUGGUACCUCAGUGGCUAUGCGCUUAUGAGGGCUACUCCAUACAUGCUCUCAUCCAUGAUGCUAUUUUGUUUUUGUUUAUUUCUGAGAGAGAGUCUCACUCUGUAGCCCUGGUUAUCCUGGAGCUAUCUAUGAAGACCAGACUGGAUUCUACUUUGUUUAUCAAAAGUCUUAGAAAUUAGGCAAAGAACAUCCCCAGCUGCACUUUCAUGAAGGAAUGCCUUCUAAAUCAAUUGGGAAAAACAAGAAAACCACUCUAAUUCUCCUGUGAGCACCAAGCUUGACCACCAACAUAGAAACACCAGGGGUUUGAAGGACACUGCUGACAUCCGUCCAGAGCAUCAACCAAACAAAGUUGAAGGUUAAGGUUGACACUUUUGGGAACAAUGACAAAGGUACACAGAUGCUGUUCACUGUGGCUGUUGUAUUAUUAUGAAUGUUUGGAACCUCAUCGGGUACUGUGAAUUAUUGUUGUAGGAAAAUAAAUAGCAAUAAGUGUAUAUACAGUAUAAGCUUUCCCCUAGUCCUGUGAGUUGGCUGGGUCUGUCUGGUUCAAGUUGGGAAUUCCAGCUGCUCAGACAGGAUUGUAAUCUACAGGCUUGCCUUGGGGGAAAAGUGGGUUCAGAGGCAGCCUGAGCUACUUUCUAAGUGAGCCUGUCUCAAAAAUAAAAUCAUGCUGAGUAUAUAGCUCUGUGCUAGACUUUGCCUACCAUCCCUGGUUUAAAAAAAAAAAUCCUAUGGGUGGAGUUCCAAGAAACAACAAAGUCUGAAAGCAAAAACAAAUCCAAGAGACUGCUCAUCAGAUAAAGGCAACUACCUAAAUCUGAUGACCCAAGUUUCAUCUGGGGGGUUUUACGGGCCAGAAGAGAGAACUGACUCUUGCACGUUGUCCUCUGACCUCCAUAUACUCGCUACAGCAUGUGUACCCACACUCCAAAUACACCCAAAAGAAAAAACACUAUAGGUUUUUUUUUAAAGUCCCAAACCAUGAUUCUGUGUAGUGCUGUUGCCUCAAACAGCAAUUAAGAACAUUCCCACAAGCCAAUCUAAUAAGGGCAAUUUUCUUUAGCUCAGUCUCUCUUCCUGAGUGACUCUAGGUUUGUGCCACCUUGAAACUAUGACAAGUUAUUUCUCAUUUUUCCUCAAUAAAUCUGUGUUUGUUCUGA